CGUGUAACCCAACAGGGCCUAAACAGAGCCCUGCUUUGCUUAACACGUAGCUACUCUUCUCCCCCUCCAAUCGCCUCUGAGCAUGAUAAGAACCUUCCAGAAACUUCUGCAACCAACCCACGGACCCCACCGGGCUUCUGCUCCCCUCCGCCGCUUCUGCCGCCGCGCACCGGCCCCGCCGUCGCCCGCCGGCGGCGACAUCUUCCAGUGGAACUCCGCCAUCACCGCCCACCUCCGCGCCGGCAGGGUGGCCGCCGCGCGCCAACUGUUCGACGAAAUGCCGGAGCGGAACGUGUUCACGUGGAACUGCAUGAUCUCCGGCUUCGUCCAGAACCGGAUGCUCGCGGACGCGCGCAGGGCGUUCGACGCGAUGCCCGGGAGGAACUCGGUCUCCUGGGCGGCGCUCCUGACGGGCUACGCGCGGAGCGGGAGGGUCGCCGAGGCCAGGGAGCUCUUCGACCGGAUGCCGGACCGGAACAUGGUCUCCUGGAACGCGAUGAUGUCGGGCUACACGCGCAACGGGAUGGCCGAGCAGGCGCGCGAGCUGUUCGACGCGAUGCCAGCGAGGAACGACGUCUCGUGGCUGACGAUGAUCUCCGGUUACAUCAGGAGGCGGCGUGUCCGCGAGGCGAGGGAGCUCUUUGACCGCGCGCCUUCCCCGUCAACGUCUGUCUGCAACGCGUUGCUGUCGGGUUACAUAGCGCUUGGUUGCUUGAAGGACGCCGAGGAGCUGUUUGGCCGGAUGCAGAGACGGAACCCUGUCUCGUGGAAUGUUAUGAUCACAGGCUACGCGCGGGCUGGGAGGAUGCAGGUUGCGCAGAGCCUGUUUGAUGAGAUGCCCCAGAAGGACACGAUAUCUCGGACAGCCAUUAUGCGUGGGUACUUGCAGAAUGGAGACGUUGAUGCUUCGUGGAAGGUGUUCCAGGAAAUGCCCGAUCGGGAUGCUGUUGCUUGGAACACAAUGAUCGGUGGUUUCGUGCAGAGCGAGAGGGUGGAUGAUGCUUUGAGAUUGUUUGCUGAGAUGCCAAAUAGGGAUCUCGUAUCUUGGAACACGAUCUUGCAAGGCUAUGUUCAACAAGGGGACAUGGCUAGUGCAAAUACCUGGUUUAGAAGAAUGCCAGAGAAAGAUGAGACCUCGUGGAACACAUUGAUCUCUGGGUACAAAGAUGAAGGAGCACUAGCUUUGCUGUCAGAAAUGACCAGAGGAGGACUCAGACCGAACCAAGCCACUUUGAGCGUUGUUAUUUCUAUCUGCGCCUCUCUUGUUGCACUCGGAUGUGGAAAAAUGGUGCAUCUCUGUGCAGUCAAAACUGGCUUUGAGCGCGACGCUUUGGUGAUGAGCUCAUUGAUAUCUAUGUACUCAAAGUGUGGGCUAAUCUCUGAAGCCUCACAAGUUUUCGAAUUGAUGUUGCAGCGAGAUACAGUGACAUGGAAUGCCAUGAUUGCGACAUAUGCUUAUCAUGGUAUGGCUGCUGAAGCUCUGAAACUCUUUGACAAGAUGACUGAAGAUGGGUUUCGUCCAGACCAUGCAACCUUUCUUAGUGUAUUGUCUUCUUGUGCACACAAAGGCUAUUUAUAUGAAGGUUGCCGAUAUUUUAGAAGUAUGCAAGAAGAUUGGAACUUGAUUCCUAGAUCUGAUCACUAUUCCUGUAUGGUUGAUCUCCUAGGUAGAUCUGGUUUUGUACACCAAGCUUAUGCAUUCACAAGAAAAAUCCCAUCUGACCUUCAAGUAAAUGCAUGGGAGACACUGUUUAGCGCAUGUAAUGCUCACGGAGAUGUUCAGCUUGGAGAAGUCAUUGCAAAGAAUGUCCUUCAGGCGCAACCUCCUGAUGGAGGAAUGUAUACACUCUUGGCAAACUUAUAUGCUGCAAAAGAGAUGUGGAGCAGUGCUGCCAAUGUUAGAGGAUUCAUGAAAGAGCAGGGUUUAAAGAAGGAGACAGGGUGUAGUUGGGUUGAGCUGAAGGGCGAGGUUGUUUCCUUCUCAUCAAAUGACAAUACACAUCCUCUAAUUGAUCAGAUAUGCCAGGAGGUUGAUAACCUUUCUGUCAUGAUAGAAGGGGCGACGUGAUACGGUUAUGAAAAAUGGAACUCUGGCAGUCUGUGAGAUCAGUUAAUGGACCUGUUGACUACAAAGUCCAAAAUUUGGGAAAACACUGUCUUUUUUUGUCAGGGGCCGGGGGUACACCCAGAUGAGUUCUUGAAAGGAUAGGAUAGUGAGGUGUUGGAGCCUGUUCAAUUCUUUAGUGAUGACCCCUUCCAAGAUCGUAAUCAAGAAGUUAAAAACAAGACAGUGAGGUUACAAAUUGGAGAUUUCCUACAAUUAGCAGUGGUGUUGGUGGUGGGAGCAUUUUCACUAUAUCAAGGAGGAAUUUAAGAACUUGGUUCCAUGUCUGCGCUGUCACUGGGGACCAGAGCACCCGCGACGUCUUCAGUGCAAAUUUCCCAAGCGAUUACACAGAACUAAUAGUGCAGUGAUUUCAGGCUAAAGAAGCUACAGAAUCAGCUUUUAAGGAUGGAAAACAGCUAUUGGAAAUAGAGUUUCCUACAGCAGGACUACAAUCUGUACCAGGCGAUGGCGAAGGUGGAAUCGAGAUGACAGGAAGCAUGCUUCUCAUUAGAGAAUUUUGCGAUCGCUUCGUACCUGCAGAGAAAGUUACCAGGACCAGAAUUUUCUUCCCUGAGGCAAAAGAGGUUACUUUUGCAAGACAGUCAGCUUUUGAAGGGUGUUCAUUGAAAUUGGAUUACCUAACAAAACCAUCCUUAUUCGAAGAUUUUGGUUUUACAACGAAGGUCAAAAUGGCAGACCGUGUGCGGCCUGAAGACGAGAUAUUCCUUGUGGCUUAUCCCUAUUUCAAUGUCAAUGAAAUGCUUGUGGUGGAAGAGCUUUACAAGGAAGCAGUUCUUAAUACAGAACGGAAAAUGAUUAUCUUCAAUGGAGAACUAGAUCGGAUAAGAAGUGGAUAUUACCCGCCCUUUUUCUAUCCAAAGCUGGGUGAACUUUCCAAGACCUUUCUUCCGAAACUGGAGACCAUUUACUAUAUUCACAAUUUUAAAGGAUCCAAAGGGGGAGCACUUUUCAGGUGUUACCCUGGCCCUUGGAAGGUGCUGAGGAAAGUAGGCGGCAGCUUCGUCUGUUUGCAUGAACAAGAGGAGAUGCCGUCACUGAAAGAAGUGGCCCUCGACAUACUUCCUUCUGCCUAGAAAGUUCCUAGAGUUACCUCUCAGAGAAAGGGGAAAAUAAAUAUCCUGAUGAAAAUGGGGGAAAAUGAAGCUUUCAGUAAUCAUCCAAGGGAAGCAAAAGCCCGCAAGAGUUCUUUCCCAAAUGUAUGUGCUCAAGAGGUUCAUCAUGGUCUUGUUGUGGAGGUCUGGAGGACAUAGAUUUAAGGUAGACAGGAAAUAGUUGAUCGCAGCACAUAUGUAUCUCCAGUUGGUGCAACACUCAUGCCAGGUCAGCUUGUCCUAUCUUGGAAGAUCAUGGUGGACCAGACGAAUGACCUGAUGCACCUGUGGGGAAUCGGAAAAAAGAACUCAUCAAUUAUAUGAUUUUUUUCCGGAGCUUAAACUUGGUACCGUAUGGUCGGUAUGAUAUCAUGGAAUUAGUGAAUCCUAAAUGCCAUCCUUGUUUUUUGUGUGGAAAAGAUGCUUAUAAUGGGGGUGAGGUAACUUGCCUGAUGUCUGUAACGGCAGAAUUAAUGCUUUGAGCACUCAGCGAAACUGCAACAUCUGACAUACUCAUUGGUUUGAUCAA
This is an RNA transcript of Triticum aestivum (bread wheat), 3748 nucleotides long. It is a transcript of the gene named protein LPA3, with no coding region annotated. The record is from RefSeq and is a predicted model, not a curated record. Lineage: Eukaryota; Viridiplantae; Streptophyta; Magnoliopsida; Poales; Poaceae. The transcript has 9 exons.